This 65-nucleotide transfer RNA is filed under the name Triops newberryi. RNAcentral's name for it is "tRNA-Cys". The record is from RNAcentral. Lineage: Eukaryota; Metazoa; Arthropoda; Branchiopoda; Notostraca; Triopsidae.
AGAUCUUAUAGUUUAAUUAAAAUUUAAGACUGCAAUUCUUAAGAUGCAUAUUUGUUYGCUAAGAU